Molecule: ribosomal RNA, 433 nt
Filed under: uncultured bacterium
Lineage: Bacteria
Description: partial 16S ribosomal RNA
Rfam family: Bacterial small subunit ribosomal RNA
Source: RNAcentral
AACGAACGCUGGCGGCAUGCCUAACACAUGCAAGUCGAACGAGACCUUCGGGUCCUGUGGCGCCCGGGUGCGUAACGCGUGGGAACCUGCCCUUAGGUUCGGAAUACCUCUCCGAAAGGGGUGCUAAUACCGGAUCAUGUCUUCGGACCAAAGAUUUAUCGCCUUUGGAUGGGCCCGCGUUGGAUUAGCUAGUUGGUAGGGUAAAAGCCUACCAAGGCGACGAUCCAUAGCUGGUCUGAGAGGAUGGUCAGCCACACUGGGACUGAGACACGGCCCAGACUCCUACGGGAGGCAGCAGUGGGGGAUAUUGGACAAUGGGCGAAAGCCUGAUCCAGCAAUGCCGCGUGAGUGAUGAAGGCCGUAGGGUUGUAAAGCUCUUUUACCCGGGAUGAUAAUGACAGUACCGGGAGAAUAAGCUCCGGCUAACUCCGUG